CUACGGAAGGCAGCAGUGGGGAAUAUUGCGCAAUGGCCGCAAGGCUGACGCAGCGACGCCGCGUGUGGGAUGACGGCCUUCGGGUUGUAAACCACUGUCGGGAGGGACGAAUACAGGGCGUCGAAUAGGCGACCCUGGGUGACGGUACCUCCAAAGGAAGCACCGGCUAACUCCGUGCCAGCAGCCGCGGUAAUACGGAGGGUGCGAGCGUUGUCCGUAAUCACUGGGCGUAAUGGGCGCGUAGGUGGCCCGAUAAGUUGCUGGUGAAAUCCCGGGGCUCAACUCCGGGGCUGCCGGUAAGACUGUCGGGCUCGAGCACGGUAGAGGCAGAUGGAAUUCCCGGUGUAGCGGUGGAAUGCGUAGAUAUCAGGAAGAAUACCAGUGGCGAAGGCGUUCUGCUGGGCCGUUGCUGACACUGAGGCGCGACAGCGUGGGGAGCAAACAGGAUUAGAUACCCCGGUAGC
Molecule: ribosomal RNA, 464 nt
Filed under: uncultured bacterium
Lineage: Bacteria
Description: bacterial SSU rRNA
Rfam family: Bacterial small subunit ribosomal RNA
Source: RNAcentral